UCCGUGAAUUUAUGCUACGUAUGUAGACAGCAAACGACGACUCCGCUGCGAUGAAGACGAACUGCACACUCCGUCCGUAAACUGCCGUCGACUCUUUCUGUGGCUUCUUCGAAUUGUGGUCUGCUGCUGUACAGACAAAUUAAUUGAAUUAGAGGGUUCUAAGGGAUAACGAGUUGGAGCUUUCGAAGAUGGCAGAAACUCGUAGAAUCUCCCGCGGCCCCCAAUCAAGCUUGUAGACAAAAAUUUAAUGACCCUUGUGGGCAAGAUGGCAGAAACUCGUAGAAUCUCCCCCAAUCAAGCUAGUAGACAAAAAUUCAAUGACCCGUGUGGGCAAAUAUAUGCGAUGUACGGACAUAUGAAAUAAUAUAUGCACGUAGGUUCAAUUCCUACUGGAUGCACGCAAUCAGGACCUUGGAAUCUCAUCCAUACAUAACGAAUUGAUGUCACAUAACACAAUUCAGAUCCA
Long non-coding RNA from Ipomoea nil (Japanese morning glory), 466 nucleotides. RefSeq lists it as uncharacterized. The transcript is spliced from 2 exons. The record is from RefSeq and is a predicted model, not a curated record. NCBI's taxonomy places the organism in Eukaryota, Viridiplantae, Streptophyta, Magnoliopsida, Solanales, Convolvulaceae.